RNAcentral lists this ribosomal RNA (426 nucleotides) under uncultured bacterium. RNAcentral describes it as "partial 16S ribosomal RNA". It matches the Rfam family "Bacterial small subunit ribosomal RNA", at positions 354 to 796 of the family's 1533-position model. The record is from RNAcentral.
GUGAGGAAUUUUCCGCAAUGGGCGAAAGCCUGACGGAGCAAUGCCGCGUGAAGGAUGAAGGCCUAUGGGUUGUAAACUUCUUUUCUCAGAAAAGAAUUAUGACGGUAUCUGAGGAAUAAGCAUCGGCUAACUCUGUGCCAGCAGCCGCGGUAAGACAGAGGAUGCAAGCGUUAUCCGGAAUGAUUGGGCGUAAAGCGUCUGUAGGUUGUUUAAAAAGUAUUCUGUCAAAGAUUAGGGCUUAACCCUAGAUAGGCAGAAUAAACUUUUAAGCUAGAGUUUGGUAGAGGCAGAGGGAAUUCCCGGUGGAGCGGUGAAAUGCGUAGAUGUCGGGAGGAACACCAAAGGCGAAGGCACUCUGCUGGGCCAAUACUAACACUGAGAGACGAAAGCGAGGGGAGCAAAUGGGAUUAGAAACCCGUGUAGUCC